Long non-coding RNA from Asparagus officinalis (garden asparagus), 231 nucleotides. RefSeq lists it as uncharacterized. The record is from RefSeq and is a predicted model, not a curated record. Lineage: Eukaryota; Viridiplantae; Streptophyta; Magnoliopsida; Asparagales; Asparagaceae. The transcript is spliced from 3 exons.
UCACUACACAACAAACUUUAUAUCUCCCUCUGUUCUUCAAUUAACUAAAACAUUUUCUCCUAUUAACAAGGCUCAUUGAAAGGUCUCACUAUGAAAUAAAGGACGAUAUUGAGCUUUUAUAGAAGCAGGAGCAACCCCGGAGAGGGCGGGAAUUCUCUCUCAAAUACAGAAUUCUUAAAGAUGAACGUGGUGCCUUUGGAAGAAGGGGUUGACAUUGGAGGCCUUGAGCAC